This 491-nucleotide ribosomal RNA is filed under the name uncultured bacterium. Its description in RNAcentral is "partial 16S ribosomal RNA". It matches the Rfam family "Bacterial small subunit ribosomal RNA", at positions 29 to 507 of the family's 1533-position model. The record is from RNAcentral.
GUGAACGCUGGCGGUAGGCCUAACACAUGCCAGUCGAACGGCAGCACAGUAAGAGCUUGCUCUUACGGGUGGCGAGUGGCGGACGGGUGAGGAAUACAUCGGAAUCUACUUUUUCGUGGGGGAUAACGUAGGGAAACUUACGCUAAUACCGCAUACGACCUACGGGUGAAAGCAGGGGAUCUUCGGACCUUGCGCGAUUGAAUGAGCCGAUGUCGGAUUAGCUAGUUGGCGGGGUAAAGGCCCACCAAGGCGACGAUCCGUAGCUGGUCUGAGAGGAUGAUCAGCCACACUGGAACUGAGACACGGUCCAGACUCCUACGGGAGGCAGCAGUGGGGAAUAUUGGACAAUGGGCGCAAGCCUGAUCCAUCCAUACCGCGUGGGUGAAGAAGGCCUUCGGGUUGUAAAGCCCUUUUGUUGGGAAAGAAAAGCAGCAGGUUAAUACCCCGCUGUUCUGACGGUACCCAAAGAAUAAGCACCGGCUAACUUCGUG